ACGCUCGACACCUACGGGAGGCGGCAGUAGGGAAUCUUCCACAAUGGACGCAAGUCUGAUGGAGCAACGCCGCGUGAGUGAAGAAGGUUUUCGGAUCGUAAAGCUCUGUUGUUGGUGAAGAAGGAUAGAGGUAGUAACUGGCCUUUAUUUGACGGUAAUCAACCAGAAAGUCACGGCUAACUACGUGCCAGGAGCCGCGGUAAUCUGAGCGGGCUGGCAAGGC
Molecule: ribosomal RNA, 223 nt
Filed under: uncultured bacterium
Lineage: Bacteria
Description: partial 16S ribosomal RNA
Rfam family: Bacterial small subunit ribosomal RNA
Source: RNAcentral